Molecule: transfer RNA, 73 nt
Filed under: Microthamnion kuetzingianum
Lineage: Eukaryota; Viridiplantae; Chlorophyta; Trebouxiophyceae; Microthamniales; Microthamniaceae
Description: tRNA-Arg
Rfam family: tRNA
About the family: Transfer RNA (tRNA) molecules are approximately 80 nucleotides in length.
Source: RNAcentral
GGGCUCAUCGUCUAAUGGAUUAGGACAGAAACCUUCUAAGUUUCCGAUGUAGGUUCGAAUCCUACUGGGCUCA